UUCUUCAGUUGAAUAUGUCUGAAAUACAAUGAAAACAGGGCUGUGUCAUGAGCAUUUUCAUAGCAUGAAACUGCUGUAUAUCAUGGGAGCUGUGGGGAUGUGUGAGGGAGCAGAAACGCUUGGGAGAGCAAUGAUGACAUGUCUCUACCCCAGAAGGAAAGAGCAGCCUCUUUCCAAGCAGGACCCAGGGGCAGACAGAGAGGGAAAAUUUGGCAACCUUUCAAAUAACUGAGAAGGGGCUGUCUACUGAGCUGGUCCCUCCCCCUCAGCAGAUCUGCAGCAGCCUUGCUCACCCCUGAGAGGUACCAAAGUCACCGAAGAGUAGUGGGGAAGAAGAGCAUCUGUCCCACUACAGAGCCUCCCCACAGUCCUUCACUGGAGUUUCUCUGAAAGAACUGCUACAGUCUUUUGGAGGUGAGCAAUAAUUACAGCUACCUUUAACUGCAUCUGGGGCCUCACAGUUAUUCACAGUGGUUCAUAGAAUCAUUAAAGUUGGAAAAGACCUCCAAGAUCAUGGACCAGAUUGACAGCUGCUUUGCCAGCUAAAGCAGUUUAUCCUGUAGUAAAGGUGGUAGUAACCUGUGCUGUGAGUUUAUAGUACAAUCCCAGUGACAAUGUAUGACAUAGAUUAUAGAAAAAUAGAUAAGCUAUUUCUUAAGAAAUGAGGACACGGAUAAAAGGACUGCUCUUCACUACAAAAAAUGAAAUUCAGCCACCUAUUCCUUCAACAGUGUGGGUGCUCUCACUCAUUUGAUAAUGAAGGUGACAUUUUGUCAUCAAUGCCUCAGCUACUGCCAGGGUGGACCAGCUACACAUUUUGUGAAGGUGUUUGUGAAGAAGUACAGAGCUUUAAGUUUUCCACAAGUCAACAGUGUGGGAUGCAGGACAGAAGAAAGGAACCUGGGGCUGUUGUCCAUGAGAGGGCAGAGAGAUGGGAGGAGGAAGACAGACUGGAGAAAACACUGAAAGAAAGACUUCGAGAGACUCUGGUUAGGUGAUGGAUGGUGGAAAAAACCCUGGGUUUUGGAAGCCACCAAGGAGUAGGGAGAGAGAAAGCAGGUGAUGCACUGGAGAUGGUUGAAGGGGGACAUUGAAUUAAAGAGGAGAUCUGUCAGUUUAAUGCCACAGUGUACGGACUAAUGCAGAAGUGUUGCAUUAAUUAAAGGAAGCAUCCAGUAAUGCUGCUGUUUUUGCCGGUCUGACACUGAAUUGGAGCUUGAUGCCUGCUCGUGUUUUAAGAGCCAUUCAUCACACAUGUCAUCCCAAAGCAGCCAGCUGUCUGAGAAAAGCCUCAUUUGCAUUUCAUCAACUACACUCCCUCUUCUCCAUACCUUUUGUUUGGGGCUUUGGCUUUUUUUUUUUUUUUCUUUUUUUUUUUAAGAGGAUACUCUUCAAAAGCAGCUUAGAUAAAAUUAGUAUUCAAUUUAGAAAUAUGAUUUUCUUUAGUUCAGAGGUCUUGCAGUUGAUCUGAAUGGAAAAAAGGUGUCAUACAAACACAGCCAUGCAAUCUGUCUGCAUAAAGAAAUUAAUGCAUUAUGGAAGAAGACAAAGAUUUUUAUGAUGGAUGGACUACACCUCUAUUAGUUCUGUACAUUAAGCUCUUAGAAUUAAUAAAACAUUUCAUUUAUUUUGAAAGUUCCUUAAAGGACAUGGGAUUUCUAAAUCUCAGCAGCUUUGAAUGAUUCCAUAUUAUGGGUUUUGAUUUCCUUUAUUGUUAGACCGAAAUUGUAUGUGUCAGGUUAUAUUGAAGCCAUUUUAGGAGGCCAAAGAACAUACAAAACCAUCUCAGUAUGUGGAAACCACCUAGAGAAAAGAGAAUGAAAUCAUAAGCUUGCACUUUCAUUCAGUGACUGACUUGAUGAACUAAUUUUUGCUUUUGUUGCUUUACUGAAUAGAUCAGAAUCUGAAAGUAAAUACAUCUCUACUGUACAGCAAAAUGAUGGAAACGCAAACCUCUCUGAAUAUCUCUUUAUAUGUUAAAUAAGAAAUGUUAUAGAUGUGUAUAUAUAUAUAUAUAUAUAUAUGGUUAUCUGUCUUAAUUGCUGUUUUUUCAGAGUAUCAGGACUGGUUUAGCAAAACAAAAACAGUCCAAACUGGGAUCCUAUGUCCCUUCAUAUAAACAGCAAAAAAUACAGAGAAAUUGCAGUUUAAUAUGAUGUAGUUUCCAAUUUUAAAAUAUCGAAAAUACCUACUUCUAAGCCGUAUAAGAAGUUUUCCAAAUCUUUUAUUUCUUAAACCAGCACCAAAAAUCUGUUCUUCCACACAGUGAAUGAGAUGCAUCUUACAUAGCUGUCAUGAUUGAAGCCAUUAUCUGUCACCAAUGGAGAGAGACAGAGCUAUGUCUGUACAAUAGGUGUCUACUCCCAAAUCUAAUUUGAUGGGCAUAUGCUCUGGGAUGUGCUGGGGUAUGAAGUGUGCCUUGUAUUUUUGAUGUCCAGACUUCAGAGGGGUAUUUACUUGUUCCUGGACCUUAUUCUGACUGCCUCUAGAAAUGGCUGUAUGGAAAUGGAGUAUGUAUCUGCAGAGAUCCCACAGUUGUAACAUAAAUGAAAUAAGUGGAACUAGGUGCUUAAUUAUUAGAGAACUUCGGAUGAAUUCAGUGUCACAUGCAUAUUAUAUGCUAAGUUAUUGGGCAAAAUCCAAUACUUAGCAGCACCUAGAUAAAUAUUAAACAACAAAUACAUAAUUUUAGGCAUAUAUACCUAAGUCCUGUUCAUUUCAACAAGGUUUAGGAAGUGAGUGUUUUGCUGAAUAGGCUGUACGGUUGAACUGUUGAAAAAAA
Long non-coding RNA from Oxyura jamaicensis (ruddy duck), 2782 nucleotides. RefSeq lists it as uncharacterized. The transcript has 3 exons. NCBI's taxonomy places the organism in Eukaryota, Metazoa, Chordata, Aves, Anseriformes, Anatidae. The record is from RefSeq and is a predicted model, not a curated record.